RNAcentral lists this ribosomal RNA (253 nucleotides) under uncultured bacterium. RNAcentral describes it as "partial 16S ribosomal RNA". It matches the Rfam family "Bacterial small subunit ribosomal RNA", at positions 524 to 776 of the family's 1533-position model. The record is from RNAcentral.
UACGAAGGGGGCUAGCGUUGUUCGGAAUUACUGGGCGUAAAGCGUGCGCAGGCGGCCAUCCAAGUCAGUGGUGAAAGCCCGGAGCUCAACUCCGGAAUUGCCUUUAAGACUGCAUCGCUAGAAUUGUGGAGAGGUAAGUGGAAUUCCGAGUGUAGAGGUGAAAUUCGUAGAUAUUCGGAAGAACACCAGUGGCGAAGGCGACUUACUGGACACAUAUUGACGCUGAGGUGCGAAAGCGUGGGGAGCAAACAGG